RNAcentral lists this ribosomal RNA (804 nucleotides) under metagenome. Its description in RNAcentral is "bacterial SSU rRNA". It matches the Rfam family "Bacterial small subunit ribosomal RNA", at positions 8 to 808 of the family's 1533-position model. The record is from RNAcentral.
AGAGUUUGAUCCUGGCUCAGGAAGAACGCUAGCGGCAGGCCUUAUACAUGCAAGUCGAGGGGCAGCAUUUACUUCGGUAAAUGGCGACCGGCGCACGGGUGAGUAACGCGUAUGCAACCUACCUUUAACUGGGGCAUAGCUCGAGGAAACUCGAAUUAAUUCCCCAUAGUACAAUAUAAUAUCGCAUGAUAUAAUUGUUAAAGAUUUAUCGGUUAAAGAUGGGCAUGCGUCUGAUUAGNUUGUUGGUNAGGUAACGGCUNACCAAGGCNACGAUCAGUAGGGGNUCUGAGAGGAUGAUCCCCCACANUGGUACUGAGACACGGACCAGACNUCUACGGANGGCAGCAGUAAGGAAUAUUGGGCAAUGGGCGNAAGCCUGACCCAGCCAUGCCGCGUGCAGGAUUGANGACCNUAUGGGUUGUAAACUGCUUUUAUAUAGGAAGAAAAAACUCUUGCGAGAGUAACUGACGGUACUAUAUGAAUAAGGACCGGCUAACUCCGUGCCAGCAGCCGCGGUAAUACGGAGGGUUCAAGCGUUUUCCGGAUUUAUUGGGUUUAAAGNGUGCGUAGGUGGUUUAUUAAGUCAGUGGUGAAAUCCUGCAGCUCAACUGUAGAACUGCCAUUGAUACUGGUAAACUUGAGUUUGGUUUAGGUAAGCGGAAUUUAUGAUGUAGCGGUGAAAUGCAUAGAUAUCAUAAGGAACACCAAUAGCGAAGGCAGCUUACUGGACCANAACUGACACUGAGGCACGAAAGCGUGGGUAGCGAACAGGAUUAGAUACCCUGGUAGUCCACGCCGUAAACG